RNAcentral lists this long non-coding RNA (315 nucleotides) under Anas platyrhynchos platyrhynchos (common mallard). Its description in RNAcentral is "lncRNA (ENSAPLG00000022022.1)". Lineage: Eukaryota; Metazoa; Chordata; Aves; Anseriformes; Anatidae. The record is from RNAcentral.
AUGGGGAAUGAGGUUCCUCUUCCACUUCCAGGAACAGGCGUUGGCCGGGUCUUCAGCGGUCACCGGCUUGAUCUGACCCUGCUGUCUCCAGCGAACACAAGUUCCUGCCAAGGGUUACAAGAAGCAUCCCAAAGGAGUGCUGUGCAUAAUGAGAGCCUUGACUGCAGGAAAAGGAAUGCUGUUUGUGAUGAUGCCAACAGAGAUACCCAAUCUUGGCACAAAACCACGCAAGUGAAGCCUUUACAAAAACAGAAAACCAAGCAGAGAGAUCUUCAGCUGAUAACGCCCUCUUUCCUGGGUAUACACACAGCAUAA